Molecule: ribosomal RNA, 255 nt
Filed under: uncultured bacterium
Lineage: Bacteria
Description: partial 16S ribosomal RNA
Rfam family: Bacterial small subunit ribosomal RNA
Source: RNAcentral
UACGUAGGGGGCAAGCGUUGUCCGGAUUAUUGGGCGUAAAGAGCGUGUAGGCGGUUUUACAGGUCCGCUGUGAAAACUUCGAGGCCUCAAACCUCGAGCUGUCGGUGGAAACCGUAAGGCUAGAGUCCGGAAGAGGAGAGUGGAAUUCCUGGUGUAGCGGUGAAAUGCGCAGAUAUCAGGAAGAACACCCGUGGCGAAGGCGGCUCUCUGGGACGGUACUGACGCUGAGACGCGAAAGCGUGGGGAGCGAACAGG